AUAGAAGGGAAGCAUCGUUUUCUGCAGUGUUGCUUAUACUCAAUCAAAUACCGCGAGGUGUUGAUUUCAUGUGUGUUACAAGGUGAACGUCUGAUGCGAACUGCUGGCGAGGUGGUGGGUCGCUGGCAAUGGCGGUGGUGGUGGAGAUACUGGUGAUGGUGAUAUUUCAGAGCUCUCAGACUCUUUCUCUUCUCCAAUCGCCACCCAGCAUUCUCACACACAUCUGACUUUGGCCUUAUCGUGCAUCUUAGCUUCCCUCCCCUUGAUUUUCUCAGAGUAGUAUUCUUCACACUCCUCUCUUAUUCAUACUGCGGAUGAAAACUACGCCACCAUUGUUAACUAGUGCCAAUUAUCACCUUGUUACUGAUCUUGUCUUCCCACCCUUACAUUAUUCUCAAGUAGGAGCGCAAGCCAAGCCAUUAUUAGGGUUCGUGUUGCCUUUUAUGAAAUUAUACUCCUGGCUUUCUUUGCUUUUGCAUUACUUGCUUGCCUUUAACUGUUGUGCUUGGCUGAUUUUUUAGACUGGGAACAAGGGGAUUCUCUCUCUCUCUCUCUCUCUCUCUCUCUCUCUCUCUCUCUCUCUCUCUCUCUCUCACACACACACACAUCAGUUAACUUCUCCAGUUUACCUCCCUUACCUCUGCCUCGUUACUUCACUCACUCUCACCUCACACUCACCUCCGCCACUUUCCCUCCUUGCCCUCCACCCGCCAUCCAUCACUAUAAAUCUAUUCACAGUAUUAUUUCACUUCAUUCUUCUUAUCUUCUUUCGUCUUUUCUCGCCUCUCUUCCAUCCGACAUCCUUACUUGUUUUUGUUUUUAUUCCUGCCCGCUGUGUACAAAUGCCACGCUCCUUUCUUGCAGUCAACUAACAAAGCAAAAACAUCUACUUCCUUUACAAGCUUAUCUUCCAGUAACUUUAUCUACAUCUAGUUACUACUACCCCCAUUCAUUUGCUAUGCUGCCCCAACAUACAACCCUCAUUCAUUCCAUUUACUGUCCCCCACAAGUCAUUACUUUUCAUACAUCAGAACUAGAACCCUCACUGACCUCCUAAAAGACUAUUGUCAUAUACCAAAACUACAUACAAACCUCAAUCAUUCCUUGUACUGCCCGCUUUAAGCCAUUAUUUUCCAUAUACCGGAACUACAACUCGCCUUCUUUCCUUGCACAGCCCCGAUACAAAACUGUUCCCAUGCAGCAGAACUACAGCCCUUAUUCAUUCCCUGCACUGCCUCCCUACCAGACUAUUUCCAUACACCUCUCCAUACUCAUUCUCAUCGGUCACCGCCCCCCCAACCAUCAGCCACCCGCUUCUCUUUCCCCUCACCCUUUCCAGUACCUCUUAUCAGCAUCCACUUAGCACUACCACCCUCAUUCAUUCCCUUUACUGCUCCCUAGAAUAUUUCCAUACACUUCUCCAUACUCAUCCGCAUCGGUCACCGCCCCCACGUCACCCAUCACCCACCCAUCGCCCUCCGCCACCCUCCGCACCUGACCCCCAGCCAACCUCUCUCAGCGCUACGAAGGAAAGGGAGAAGCGUGAGGCAGCAGUCACGUUCGCGUCCGGGCAAAGCGAAAAUAGUGGUGCUUGUCCUCGUCCCCAACCUUACAUGGAGAGACGAUAUUGCCGCGUGACAACCUGACAUUAUCCGUCGAAACCUCAUCCAGAAACGCUGUCGGAAGCUGACUUGCACUUUCACACUACCCGCUCAUCACAAUG
Molecule: long non-coding RNA, 1723 nt
Organism: Scylla paramamosain (green mud crab)
Lineage: Eukaryota; Metazoa; Arthropoda; Malacostraca; Decapoda; Portunidae
Exons: 3
Source: RefSeq, a predicted model, not a curated record